GCCUUUGUGGUGCAAUGGUCAGCACGCUGGGCGCGUAUUCCAGAAGUCCGUGGUUCGAGUCCCGGCGAAGUCA
Molecule: transfer RNA, 73 nt
Filed under: Stegodyphus mimosarum
Lineage: Eukaryota; Metazoa; Arthropoda; Arachnida; Araneae; Eresidae
Rfam family: tRNA
About the family: Transfer RNA (tRNA) molecules are approximately 80 nucleotides in length. Their secondary structure includes four short double-helical elements and three loops (D, anti-codon, and T loops).
Source: Rfam by way of RNAcentral